RNAcentral lists this ribosomal RNA (253 nucleotides) under uncultured bacterium. Its description in RNAcentral is "partial 16S ribosomal RNA". It matches the Rfam family "Bacterial small subunit ribosomal RNA", at positions 524 to 776 of the family's 1533-position model. The record is from RNAcentral.
UACGUAGGGGGCAAGCGUUGUCCGGAUUUAUUGGGCGUAAAGAGCGUGUAGGCGGCCAAACAGGUCAGCUGUGAAAACUCGAGGCUUAACCUCGAGACGUCGGUUGAAACCGUUUGGCUAGAGUCCGGAAGAGGAGAGUGGAAUUCCCGGUGUAGCGGUGAAAUGCGCAGAUAUCGGGAAGAACACCCGUGGCGAAGGCGGCUCUCUGGGACGGUACUGACGCUGAGACGCGAAAGCGUGGGGAGCGAACAGG